AUGGGCCUCUUGCGAACACAGUCCCCCGUUUACCUUGGUCCUUUGCUUAACUCGCCUGUUACCUAGAUAGAUGGUUAGGGUUACCAACACAGACUGAUUCAAUGGCUACACGACUCGUGCAAGCACAAACAGAGACUCACAUCUGUCCGUGGCUCUAAAGUAAUGUUUCUUGUAAGGUUACGUAUAGAACCCGACAACCGUGUUAGACUGGACUGAAUAUCAUUUACAAACAUUUAACAAGUUUGAAAGGUAGUUAAACGUGGAUUUGUUUGGUCGCUGUUCUUUUUUCAACGAGCUCCUCCUGUGAGCUCUCGCUGGGCAAAGAAGCCAAGCUGUCUAUCUAGAAAGUGUAUGGCGCGAUACGGUGAAGUGCAAACACUAUUUAGCUAGGACUCGCUUAGCGGUCUGAAGUUUGUUGAAAUUAUAAAGGUUUUCUGGAUGAGUUUGGCAUACUAUUUAAUUCUAUGCUAUGAUAUCAGCAAUGCUCACAUAUAUAACACUGGCAAAAACUGUCAAUCCUACUAUAGUGUAAAAUAAUUAGACUAGCUAGCAAGCAAGGUAGUUUCCUGUCUGUUAGUGAACUUACAAUCCGCAUGUGUCAUUGCCAGCUGGCUGGCUAAGUUGGGAAAGUUCGUUAACUUCAGUAGCUUUAAUUUUAAGCUAGUCAAAUUACAAAAUGAACUAAUGUUAGCUAACUGGCCAUCUAUAUUUUGAAUGUUUUAACGUUAGACAACUAGAUAGCCAGCUUGCUCCCAAGUAGCUAAUGUCGAUUAGUUUUUCUUAAAGAACUUUAGCCUUUUGUCAAAAUGUGAUAUAGCUAAUAAGAUUUUCUGAUCGUCCCACUCAUUGCCUUAGCAUACGUCACUGAUUGAUUCCAAAUUGAAAUGGUUGUGUUAAUUGCUGUGUCGUACCAUUAGUUGGAUAAAAUCCUGCCGACACAUCUCUUGAGUCACAAUGUAUGAGCGGCGUUUGUGCGGCCACUUCCGCCCGGCUUGAGUCCGUGGGAAAGGUCGGGGCUGCACUCUGUGUUUGAUGAGGCCCAGAGUUGGGUCCAUACUGAAGUGUUUGCAGCUGAAGUUAGGCUUGUCAUCGGUUUACAUGUAACGUAGCCGUGUGUUGGGGUUCAUGUUGUAUUUGGAAAAUGGGUGAUCAUAUAUUUUGUUACUGGAUAGCGGUAGCCAACAUUCGUUUAGCUCGCUAAUUGGCUAGCCAGCUUACCAUCUAAAUCGGUUUGGUUGGUGCCGGGUCAAGUUGGUUAGCUAGAGUUUUUGUUUGCUAUACUAACGACGUUGGUUGGUUCGAUGGGCAGAGAGCGACAGAGAGCAUGUGACGUGAAAUGAACAUUUUAAUGAGGUGACUUUGGCUAGUUACUGGCUAAUAUUCAAAAUAUUACUUGCAAGCAAUCUGCACAUAGCGAAGUUGUCAAGACCUACUGUACAUAUGGUGUAAAUAACUUAAGUAGCCACAAAAGUUAAAAGAACAAUUGCAUUAAAGGGUAGACACCAGUCUCUGAUGUGUUUAUACAACUGACUGAACGAAUUAGCCGGCUAUUCAAAGGAAGUUUAAAUAAUUUGUCUCCAUGGAAAUUUUGGAAGCUACGCCGACCAAAGCAAGGAGGGAGGAAUGGCUACUUUUGCAUCAGCUUUGCGCUGUAACGUUACUAUAAAUGAGAUUUAGUUUCGAAUGGUGAUUUUAAUAUUAAUUGAAUAACGUGACUACAUUUUUCUCAAAUGAAACGUGAUGCUUCAGAGAUAUGUGGGAAAAGUCUACCUUAUUUUGGACCAGUGUAUGAAUUAAUACUGUACUGUAUAUAUCUUUUGAAUAUUCAGGCAGUUCUUAAGGUUUGUUUCUUGAAAAGCUUCAUGAUUUUUCUUUCAAUCAUAACUGUUGUUGUUUCAGAGGGCAGUAUGUGAUUGUGCCACGUGUGGCGACCAAACCCAAGCACGGAAUUUCAGCAUCAGGGCUUCAAUUUGUUUCAAGGAUAGCAGGGGUUUCUAGUGCAAAUGUAUGUACCUCCAGCUCUUUCUACAUCAGAAUCAUGUUGGUGGGUAUUUGAAAUCCUACAUAGCUGACAAUCUCAUUUAACUUACCUGUCCUGCCCCAGGUUUUUGAGUUUUAGCACCUCCUAGUGGUGGUUUGUUUGAACAGGAAGUAACCUGUCUGUACAGGAAGUAGUUUUCAUGUGAAAGCACGGGCUGCAUCUGAAUAGUCAAAAAACUCACAUCCUAUGUCUUUUCCUAACCACUUUUCCUUGACCUCGAUGGAAAACGUCAUGAGGUCAAGGAAAGAUGUGAAGGAGAAUUCAUAAGGAUUUAGGAAAAGACAACCGCGGUGUUAAGAGAAUCCGACUGCGCUUACACUAGGCUACGUAAUUAUGCGACGGCAGAUGUUAUUGACUUGGGUCUGCAGUGGUGAAACUACAAUGUUCCGAAGAUGGACUACUAAAAGCGCAUCUUAGAUACUUUGUCCCGUGCGUUCUUAUCCUGUUGUUUCGUGCAGGCUAUAUAAACGUGGGCAACCCGGUGAAGAAUAUUACUUCAUUAGGUUGGAAUUGAAAUAAAAAAUAAAAAAGGAAUAUAGGCUACCAGUCACAAGUGAAAUGAAAUGGUUGUCACAUUGAGAGUGGUUGCUCACGCUCACUCUCCUGUCCACUCAUAUUUGUCGACAUGAAUCCCAAUUAGUAUGAUUGUAUGAAAUUAAUUGUUAAAUUGAAUGCAAGAUAGGCAUAACAUGUUAGGCCUACAAAUCUACUACUGUACAUAUCAUCAUUCUUAAGUUUCAAACAUGUUGAAUUAAAAGCAUCAUCUGGCUAAAAACAUCUUGUAUCCUUUUUUCUUGAAAGACAGACUUCUGUGUUAUGGUUAAUAUGCUGAUUAUGAUCUGAUUGUGAGCCUAUGCAUAUAUUAGCUUAAGAACCACCACACAACUCAGUCAUGUUGAUCAUUUGUUUUUGUGAACAGCCAAAUGGUGCGUCGCUUUAAAUGUUGCUGCUGCAAGGAAAUGUGGGAUGGAAUUAUCUCCUUUCCUUUCGUAAAGGACGGUCCAGUGUGUCCUAUGCUAAAGGAGAUAAGAAAGGAAGCAUUGAAGCACCUUUCCUUAGCAUUUAGAGAAUUUGACCAGCUCUUAUCAUGGCUGCCACUUAGACACUUCCGGGUCAUUUCACUCAGUUAGAAACCUUCCUAAGCAAAACAGACUAUUCGGAUGCAGCCGUAUAUAUAUAUAUAUAUCCAUCCUUUCUUUUAAGCUUGUGAAAGCAUCAUCUUUUCACUCUUGAUUCAUGAAUGCAUCUACAACGGCAUCUUAUUAAAAGCACAACUAAGAUGA
Anguilla rostrata (American eel) is the source of this 3324-nucleotide long non-coding RNA. RefSeq lists it as uncharacterized. The transcript has 2 exons. Lineage: Eukaryota; Metazoa; Chordata; Actinopteri; Anguilliformes; Anguillidae. The record is from RefSeq and is a predicted model, not a curated record.